This 207-nucleotide ribosomal RNA is filed under the name uncultured bacterium. RNAcentral describes it as "partial 16S ribosomal RNA". It matches the Rfam family "Bacterial small subunit ribosomal RNA", at positions 568 to 774 of the family's 1533-position model. The record is from RNAcentral.
AGCGUAGACGGUUUUGCAAGUCUGAAGUGAAAGCCCGGGGCUUAACCCCGGGACUGCUUUGGAAACUGUAGAACUAGAGUGCAGGAGAGGUAAGUGGAAUUCCUAGUGUAGCGGUGAAAUGCGUAGAUAUAUGGAGGAACACCAGUGGCGAAGGCGACGAUCUGGCGCAUAACUGACGCUCAGUCCCGAAAGCGUGGGGAGCAAAUA